GGCUCCUUGUAAAUUAAAAAUAAGGAGUCGGACCUGCCCGGUGAAAUUUUUUAACGGCCGCGGUACUCUGACCGUGCAAAGGUAGCAUAAUAAUUUGCCUUAUAAUUGAAGGCUGGUAUGAAUGGUUUAACAAGAACAUUACUGUCUCUUUAUAGUUUGUUAGAAAUUUAUUUUAAGGUGAAGAAGCCUUAGUAAAAUUGAUAGACAAGAAGACCCUAUCGAGCUUUAAAAAAAUUAAAAGAAUCGAUUUAAUAUCUUUAAAAAAUAAGCUUUUAAACAUUUUGGUUGGGGCGACUGAGGAACAAAAAAAGCUUCCUUUAUAUACUUUAAACAUACAGGUUUUGAUCCAAAAGUUUUGAUUAAAGGAAAUAGUUACCGUAGGGAUAACAGCAUUAUCUUUCUUGAGAGCUCUUAUCGAAAGAGAGGUUUGUGACCUCGAUGUUGGACCAGAAUAUCCUAAAGGUGCAGAAGCCUUUAAGGGUUGGUCUGUUCGACCAUUAAAAUUCU
Molecule: ribosomal RNA, 507 nt
Filed under: Pyrgospira aenone
Lineage: Eukaryota; Metazoa; Mollusca; Gastropoda; Neogastropoda; Pseudomelatomidae
Description: partial large subunit ribosomal RNA
Rfam family: Bacterial large subunit ribosomal RNA
Source: RNAcentral